Molecule: ribosomal RNA, 379 nt
Filed under: uncultured bacterium
Lineage: Bacteria
Description: bacterial SSU rRNA
Rfam family: Bacterial small subunit ribosomal RNA
Source: RNAcentral
UGAGGAAUCUUGCGCAAUGGGGGAAACCCUGACGCAGCAACGCCGCGUGAGUGAGGAAGGUCUUCGGAUCGUAAAGCUCUGUCAGUUGGAAAGAAAUGUCUGAGAGUCAAUCCCUUUCAGGCUUGACGGUACCAACAGAGGAAGCACCGGCUAACUCCGUGCCAGCAGCCGCGGUAAUACGGGGGGUGCAAGCGUUGUUCGGCAUUAUUGGGCGUAAAGAGCGUGUAGGCGGCCGGAUAUGUCAGAUGUGAAAGCCCCGGGCUUAACACGGGAAGUGCAGUUGAAACGGGCAGGCUAGAGUAGGGGAGAGGGAAGUGGAAGUCCUGGUGUAGAGGUGAAAGUCGUAGAUAUCAGGAGGAACACCGGUGGCGAAGGCGAC